Molecule: ribosomal RNA, 497 nt
Filed under: uncultured bacterium
Lineage: Bacteria
Description: partial 16S ribosomal RNA
Rfam family: Bacterial small subunit ribosomal RNA
Source: RNAcentral
GAUGAACGCUGGCGGCGUGCCUAAUACAUGCAAGUCGAGCGAACAGACGAGGAGCUUGCUCCUCUGACGUUAGCGGCGGACGGGUGAGUAACACGUGGAUAACCUACCUAUAAGACUGGGAUAACUUCGGGAAACCGGAGCUAAUACCGUAUAAUAUAUUGAACCGCAUGGUUCAAUAGUGAAAGACGGUUUUGCUGUCACUUAUAGAUGGAUCCGCGCCGCAUUAGCUAGUUGGUAAGGUAACGGCUUACCAAGGCAACGAUGCGUAGCCGACCUGAGAGGGUGAUCGGCCACACUGGAACUGGGACACGGUCCAGACUCCUACGGGAGGCAGCAGUAGGGAAUCUGCCGCAAUGGGCGAAAGCUUGACGGAGCAACGGCGCGUGAGUGAUGAAGGUCUUCGGAUCGUAAAACUCUGUUAUUAGGGAAGAACAAAUGUGUAAGUAACUAUGCACGUCUUGACGGUACCUAGUCAGAAAGCCACGGCUAACUACGUG